GACAUAGGUGGCGAACGUUAUCCGGAAUUAUUGGGCGUAAAGGAUGCGUAGAUGGUAGAAUAAGUUACUGGUCGAUGCCAAACUCAAUUUGACGGAAGCUAGUAAUACUGUUCUGCUUGAGGGCAGGAGAGGUUGAUGGAAUUCUGUGUGGAGCGGUGAAAUGCGUAGAUAUCUGGAGGAACACCGGUGGCGAAGGCGGCAUUCUGGACUGUAACUGACACUGAGAGACGAAAGCCAGGGGAGCAAACGGG
RNAcentral lists this ribosomal RNA (251 nucleotides) under uncultured bacterium. RNAcentral describes it as "partial 16S ribosomal RNA". It matches the Rfam family "Bacterial small subunit ribosomal RNA", at positions 524 to 776 of the family's 1533-position model. The record is from RNAcentral.